Molecule: long non-coding RNA, 1094 nt
Organism: Papaver somniferum (opium poppy)
Lineage: Eukaryota; Viridiplantae; Streptophyta; Magnoliopsida; Ranunculales; Papaveraceae
Exons: 4
Source: RefSeq, a predicted model, not a curated record
CUUAAUUAUCGUAUAUCUUAUCUUAUACUAUAAUAAAGAAAAGGUGUCUUUUCAACGGACCGAUAAGAUAUUAUCGAUGUACCCUUCCGUGUUUUUAAGAUGCUGAAAUAGCUACUCUGUGCUUUUGAUUAUUCAGCUGCAGAUGAAUCUGAAAGAACCCUCCUUAUUCAUGAUUAUUCAGCCGUAUCUUCAUGAGAUUUUGGUGAAAUCUGAAAGGACCAUUUCUGAUUUCUACUUCCCAAACAAAACCAUCGAUUUCUUAUUUCAAAUCACACACAAAAAUCUUCUCUGUUCAUAAUCACAGUACUUUUCCCCCAAAUUAAUCACAAUAUUAUUUCCCCAAAUCAAAAUCGUCAAAAUGAUUGAACCAUAGUUGAAGAGCUGAUACAAUAACUUAACAUCAACAGGAGAAAUUACAAUCUGAAAAAUUAACCCAUUGUCGUGUUGGUGUUUGAUUAUAAGGAGAAAUCACAUCGAAUAGAAUUGAGGAAUUUUUAUGUUUUAUUUUAAGGUAUCGAAGCAAGAACUCAUGGUAAUGGAGGAAUGCACAGGGGUGAGAACUUCAGAUUUCAGGACCCUGGGAUGCAGGGAUAUCAAGCUUCCCUUCACAAUAAACGCUUAUCUAUUGAUCUUCACUGUAAUUGGUUUUAUUGGUGUGCUUUACGUUGAAGCUGGAGGAGUUGGAGUCUAACAGUUAACAGUUAGCUCGAGGGAACCUUCCCCUGACAGAAAAUUUGUUGGUGGAUCAUUCUACUUGAAGUUUUUUAUUGCCGGCCGUCCGAAGGAAGUUGCUUGCUUGGUAUUGAUGAGUCCACAAUGUCGCAUGUAUAUUUCAGAUCCUUUUUAUAUCAGAAUUCAAAGAUGCAGUCUCCAUAAUUAAACAUUUUAUUGAGUUCAGGGUAUCUGAUGACAUCUAAGUAAUAAUCCAGUGAAUGCAUAGUUUGUAAGUCAUUCUCCUUGAGGUAUUGUUUUCAUAUUGCAGGCUAUCUUAAGGCAUUUUCUUACUUGGUAUUGAUGAUUUAACAAUGUCGUUGUGUCGUUAUCUGCAUAAAGAAUUGAUAAAAAGCCAAGGAGCUGUUCACUUUUCACUUUCA